UCUAAUUGUCAUAAAUGCUUUACUUCUUUUUUAAUUUAAUUCCUGAUUUUAUAAUAAAAUUUUCAUAUUCAAAUAAGAAUAUUGCCAAAUAAUUGUAAGUUUAAUUGUUAUUCAAUUUUGAUAUUCUAUGGUUUUCUGCUUUGAAAGAAUUGGUUAUCAAAACAAGAAAUCAUAUGAAAAGAAUUAUGAAAAUAAAAGUGUUUGUGUUUUGCAAAAUACCUAAGGGGGAAAGAGAUUUUUUUUAUAAAAAAAAAAGGUGUUUGUGUGUUGCAAAAUAUCUAUAGCGAAAAGAAUUUU
Molecule: long non-coding RNA, 297 nt
Filed under: Prunus persica (peach)
Lineage: Eukaryota; Viridiplantae; Streptophyta; Magnoliopsida; Rosales; Rosaceae
Description: long non-coding RNA (PPER_LNC003042)
Source: RNAcentral